Long non-coding RNA from Bradysia coprophila, 480 nucleotides. NCBI's taxonomy places the organism in Eukaryota, Metazoa, Arthropoda, Insecta, Diptera, Sciaridae. The record is from RefSeq and is a predicted model, not a curated record.
GUUCAGUCAUAAAUAAAUGUCCACAUCGUCAGUUGAUUCGAAGUUCUCUUGUACAGAAAUGAAUACUUCACUGGUUCUUCUACUUUUCACAAUCUUUUAUGUUGAGAGCACAUUUGCGGCUGUUCAACGUUAUCCGUUAGGCGAAGGAAAGGCUUCGAUAAAAGAAAUCGAUCUGUUCAAUAAACAGAGUCCCCGCCGAAUAGUCACAGGUGAUUGGAUUGUAGGCGAAGUGACAUUAUCAACCGAUUUACAUGUUAAACCAAGGACAUUUCAACCUCGCCGAAAAACGAAUUAAAACGUAAAUUGGGUAUAGCGUAGGACCGUUUCUAAUAAACCCCUAAUCGGUGAAUUGGAUUAAUUGGUUAUGGUGAUGCAAAGUGCGGUUAUUUCCUCUAAUUUGUUUUUGUCAAAACAGAGACUGCAUCUAGAGUCAUUGUGAAGUGUAGCGAAUUUAAUAAAAUUGGAACUUUUGGAGGGUGA